Molecule: ribosomal RNA, 453 nt
Filed under: Triticum aestivum (bread wheat)
Lineage: Eukaryota; Viridiplantae; Streptophyta; Magnoliopsida; Poales; Poaceae
Description: partial small subunit ribosomal RNA
Source: RNAcentral
AUGGCCUCCUUGGUGGUGGAGACCGGGGCCGGCAGCGGCGUAGGCGCCGCGGAAGCCGACGACGACGGUAGGAAGUUGGGGAGCGAGCCCCGGUACGACGAGAUCCAGGCGGCGCGGUUGGGCGAGAGCUCGAAGAGGUUGGAGGCGAGGGAGGAGAUGAGGUGGAGCAGCGACUGCGCGCGCGGGAGCGGCGGCAGGAGCGGGAGCAGCGCCGGCGAGGUGGUUAGGGUUGGGACCGCGAUUCCGGCCGCGGACGGGGCCGCGCUCGCGGACGGCGGGUUGGCCUGCGGCGGCGAGGAGGUGGGGUUCGCGGGAGACUGGUUGGGCGGGAGCGACGGCGACGAGGCGGUCACCCCCAGCCUCGCCGGCGACGGCAUGUGCGACUGCAUCAUCGCGGCGGCGGGGGCGACGGACUGGGGAAUCCAACGCGAGGAGCAGAGGCUCGUCGACUAG